Molecule: ribosomal RNA, 497 nt
Filed under: uncultured bacterium
Lineage: Bacteria
Description: partial 16S ribosomal RNA
Rfam family: Bacterial small subunit ribosomal RNA
Source: RNAcentral
GAUGAACGCUGGCGGCGUGCCUAAUACAUGCAAGUCGAGCGAACGGACGAGAAGCUUGCUUCUCUGAUGUUAGCGGCGGACGGGUGAGUAACACGUGGAUAACCUACCUAUAAGACUGGGAUAACUUCGGGAAACCGGAGCUAAUACCGGAUGAUAUUUUGAACCGCAUGGUUCAAAAGUGAAAGACGGUCUUGCUGUCACUUAUAGAUGUAUCCGCGCUGCAUUAGCUAGUUGGUAAGGUAACGGCUUACCAAGGCAACGAUGCAUAGCCGACCUGAGAGGGUGAUCGGCCACACUGGAACUGAGACACGGCCCAGACUCCUACGGGAGGCAGCAGUAGGGAAUCUUCCGCAAUGGGCGAAAGCCUGACGGAGCAACGCCGCGUGAGUGAUGAAGGUCUUCGGAUCGUAAAACUCUGUUAUUAGGGAAGAACAUAUGUGUAAGUAACUGUGCACAUCUUGACGGUACCUAAUCAGAAAGCCACGGCUAACUACGUG